UACGUCGGGGGCAAGCGUUGUCCGGAAUCAUUGGGCGUAAAGCGCGCGUAGGCGGUCUUUCAAGUCAGGAGUGAAAGCCCCGGGCUCAACCCGGGAAUAGCUCUUGAUACUGUUGGACUUGAGUCCGGGAGAGGAUAGUGGAAUUCCCAGUGUAGAGGUGAAAUUCGUAGAUAUUGGGAAGAACACCAGUGGCGAAGGCGGCUAUCUGGACCGGUACUGACGCUGAGGCGCGAAAGCGUGGGGAGCAAACAGG
This 253-nucleotide ribosomal RNA is filed under the name uncultured bacterium. RNAcentral's name for it is "partial 16S ribosomal RNA". It matches the Rfam family "Bacterial small subunit ribosomal RNA", at positions 524 to 776 of the family's 1533-position model. The record is from RNAcentral.